RNAcentral lists this long non-coding RNA (489 nucleotides) under Actinidia chinensis (golden kiwifruit). RNAcentral describes it as "long non-coding RNA (ACHI_LNC008173)". Lineage: Eukaryota; Viridiplantae; Streptophyta; Magnoliopsida; Ericales; Actinidiaceae. The record is from RNAcentral.
UCUAAGGCAGGAGUCACUUUUGGGAAAAUCACUACAAAGCAAGGUAUGGAGGAUUAUGUGUGCUGGACCUCGAUCAAAACACUACUAAGCACCGUCAUCGUUCGGACUAAGAAUUUGCGUCACAUCCGAGCUGUCGCUGUAUAGUAAGUUCGGUAGAGCGACCGGCAUAACAGUCGGUUGCGAUCCUGAGGUAUGAUAAUUUGUACGUCGAAGUUUUUUUUGAUAACCCCCACCCAUGCCUGGAACAAGACAUCUACGGUAUGAAGGCAUGCUACCAACUAAGCCUAAGAAGCAUGGUUGAGUCAGUCACAUACCUACUGACACGACAGUUGACGCGUCGAGGUAUGCGCCGAGUUAUGCUAUAUAAGGGGAACCUCUAUUCUAAAAAAUGUAUGCACUUUCAGCUAAUAAAGGACAUCUACUCUCUCUCUAAAUACAUUCUCCGAUCUUCUAACUUGAUAUUGGAAAACUAUUUUUCGAAAAUAGUUC